GGGUUGUGAGGUUAAGCGACUAAGCGUACACGGUGGAUGCCCUGGCAGUCAGAGGCGAUGAAGGACGUGCUAAUCUGCGAAAAGCGUCGGUAAGGUGAUAUGAACCGUUACAGCCGGCGAUGUCCGAAUGGGGAAACCCAGUGCAAUUCGUUGCACUAUCGUUAACUGAAUACAUAGGUUAACGAGGCGAACCGGGGGAACUGAAACAUCUAAGUACCCCGAGGAAAAGAAAUCAACCGAGAUUCCCCCAGUAGCGGCGAGCGAACGGGGAGCAGCCCAGAGUCUGAAUCAGCUUGUGUGUUAGUGGAACGGUCUGGAAAGUCCGACGGUACAGGGUGAUAGUCCCGUACACCAAAAUGCACAGGUUGUGAACUCGAAGAGUAGGGCGGGACACGUGGUAUCCUGUCUGAAUAUGGGGGGACCAUCCUCCAAGGCUAAAUACUCCUGACUGACCGAUAGUGAACCAGUACCGUGAGGGAAAGGCGAAAAGAACCCCGGCGAGGGGAGUGAAAAAGAACCUGAAACCGUGUACGUACAAGCAGUGGGAGCACCUUCGGGUGUGACUGCGUACCUUUUGUAUAAUGGGUCAGCGACUUAUAUUCUGUAGCAAGGUUAACCGUAUAGGGGAGCCGCAGGGAAACCGAGUCUUAACUGGGCGUUAAGUUGCAGGGUAUAGACCCGAAACCCGGUGAUCUAGCCAUGGGCAGGUUGAAGGUUGGGUAACACUAACUGGAGGACCGAACCGACUAAUGUUGAAAAAUUAGCGGAUGACUUGUGGCUGGGGGUGAAAGGCCAAUCAAACCGGGAGAUAGCUGGUUCUCCCCGAAAGCUAUUUAGGUAGCGCCUCGUGAACUCAUCUUCGGGGGUAGAGCACUGUUUCGGCUAGGGGGUCAUCCCGACUUACCAACCCGAUGCAAACUACGAAUACCGAAGAAUGUUAUCACGGGAGACACACGGCGGGUGCUAACGUCCGUCGUGAAGAGGGAAACAACCCAGACCGCCAGCUAAGGUCCCAAAGUCACAGUUAAGUGGGAAACGAUGUGGGAAGGCACAGACAGCCAGGAUGUUGGCUUAGAAGCAGCCAUCAUUUAAAGAAAGCGUAAUAGCUCACUGGUCGAGUCGGCCUGCGCGGAAGAUGUAACGGGGCUAAACUGUGCACCGAAGCUGCGGCAGCGACACUAUGUGUUGUUGGGUAGGGGAGCGUUCUGUAAGCCUGCGAAGGUGGCCUGUGAGGGUUGCUGGAGGUAUCAGAAGUGCGAAUGCUGACAUAAGUAACGAUAAUGCGGGUGAAAAGCCCGCACGCCGGAAGACCAAGGGUUCCUGUCCAACGUUAAUCGGGGCAGGGUGAGUCGACCCCUAAGGCGAGGCCGAAAGGCGUAGUCGAUGGGAAACAGGUUAAUAUUCCUGUACUUGGUGUUACUGCGAAGGGGGGACGGAGAAGGCUAUGUUAGCCGGGCGACGGUUGUCCCGGUUUAAGCAUGUAGGCGGAGGUUCCAGGUAAAUCCGGUACCUUUUAACGCUGAGGUGUGAUGACGAGGCACUACGGUGCUGAAGUAACAAAUGCCCUGCUUCCAGGAAAAGCCUCUAAGCAUCAGGUAACAUUGAAUCGUACCCCAAACCGACACAGGUGGUCAGGUAGAGAAUACCAAGGCGCUUGAGAGAACUCGGGUGAAGGAACUAGGCAAAAUGGUGCCGUAACUUCGGGAGAAGGCACGCUGAUAUGUAGGUGAAGCCCCUGCGGGUGGAGCUGAAAUCAGUCGAAGAUACCAGCUGGCUGCAACUGUUUAUUAAAAACACAGCACUGUGCAAACACGAAAGUGGACGUAUACGGUGUGACGCCUGCCCGGUGCCGGAAGGUUAAUUGAUGGGGUUAUCCGUAAGGAGAAGCUCUUGAUCGAAGCCCCGGUAAACGGCGGCCGUAACUAUAACGGUCCUAAGGUAGCGAAAUUCCUUGUCGGGUAAGUUCCGACCUGCACGAAUGGCGUAAUGAUGGCCAGGCUGUCUCCACCCGAGACUCAGUGAAAUUGAACUCGCUGUGAAGAUGCAGUGUACCCGCGGCAAGACGGAAAGACCCCGUGAACCUUUACUAUAGCUUGACACUGAACAUUGAGCCUUGAUGUGUAGGAUAGGUGGGAGGCUUUGAAGCGUGGACGCCAGUCUGCGUGGAGCCAACCUUGAAAUACCACCCUUUAAUGUUUGAUGUUCUAACGUUGGCCCCUGACCGGGGUUGCGGACAGUGUCUGGUGGGUAGUUUGACUGGGGCGGUCUCCUCCCAAAGAGUAACGGAGGAGCACGAAGGUUAGCUAAUCCUGGUCGGACAUCAGGAGGUUAGUGCAAUGGCAUAAGCUAGCUUGACUGCGAGCGUGACGGCGCGAGCAGGUGCGAAAGCAGGUCAUAGUGAUCCGGUGGUUCUGAAUGGAAGGGCCAUCGCUCAACGGAUAAAAGGUACUCCGGGGAUAACAGGCUGAUACCGCCCAAGAGUUCAUAUCGACGGCGGUGUUUGGCACCUCGAUGUCGGCUCAUCACAUCCUGGGGCUGAAGUAGGUCCCAAGGGUAUGGCUGUUCGCCAUUUAAAGUGGUACGCGAGCUGGGUUUAGAACGUCGUGAGACAGUUCGGUCCCUAUCUGCCGUGGGCGCUGGAGAAUUGAGGGGGGCUGCUCCUAGUACGAGAGGACCGGAGUGGACGCAUCACUGGUGUUCGGGUUGUCAUGCCAAUGGCAUUGCCCGGUAGCUAAAUGCGGAAGAGAUAAGUGCUGAAAGCAUCUAAGCACGAAACUUGCCCCGAGAUGAGUUCUCCCUGAGACUUUAAGUCUCCUGAAGGAACGUUAAAGACGAUGACGUUGAUAGGUCGGGUGUGUAAGCGUAGCGAUACGUUGAGCUAACCGAUACUAAUGAACCGUGAGGCUUAACCUUACAACGCCGAAGGUGUUU
Molecule: ribosomal RNA, 2931 nt
Filed under: Klebsiella aerogenes
Lineage: Bacteria; Pseudomonadati; Pseudomonadota; Gammaproteobacteria; Enterobacterales; Enterobacteriaceae
Description: bacterial LSU rRNA
Rfam family: Bacterial large subunit ribosomal RNA
Source: RNAcentral